RNAcentral lists this ribosomal RNA (497 nucleotides) under uncultured bacterium. RNAcentral describes it as "partial 16S ribosomal RNA". It matches the Rfam family "Bacterial small subunit ribosomal RNA", at positions 28 to 507 of the family's 1533-position model. The record is from RNAcentral.
GAUGAACGCUGGCGGCGUGCCUAAUACAUGCAAGUCGAGCGAACGGACGAGAAGCUUGCUUCUCUGAUGUUAGCGGCGGACGGGUGAGUAACACGUGGAUAACCUACCUAUAAGACUGGGAUAACUUCGGGAAACCGUAGCUAAUACCGGAUAAUAUUUUGAACCGCAUGGUUCAAAAGUGAAAGACGGUCUUGCUGUCACUUAUAGAUGGAUCCGCGCUGCAUUAGCUAGUUGGUAAGGUAACGGCUUACCAAGGCAACGAUGCAUAGCCGACCUGAGAGGAUGAUCGGCCACACUGGAACUGAGACACGGUCCAGACUCCUACGGGAGGCAGCAGUAGGGAAUCUUCCGCAAUGGGCGAAAGCCUGACGGAGCAACGCCGCGUGAGUGAUGAAGGUCUUCGGAUCGUAAAACUCUGUUAUUAGGGAAGAAAAUAUGUGUAAGUAACUGUGCACAUCUUGACGGUACCUAAUCAGAAAGCCACGGCUAACUACGUG